Molecule: ribosomal RNA, 698 nt
Filed under: Tulostoma sp. KH-2011b
Lineage: Eukaryota; Fungi; Basidiomycota; Agaricomycetes; Agaricales; Agaricaceae
Description: eukaryotic LSU rRNA
Rfam family: 5.8S ribosomal RNA (bases 311-464)
Source: RNAcentral
AACAAGGUUUCCGUAGGUGAACCUGCGGAAGGAUCAUUAUUGAAUAAACCUGAUGGGUUGUUGCUGGCUUCUAGGAGCAUGUGCACGCCUAUCAUCUUUAUCCAUCCACCUGUGCACCUUUUGUAGUCUUGGAGUAAUGAGUGUAACACAUAUCGAGGAACAACUUUGGUCCUCGGAUAGAGGUCUUGCUAUGCGAUAGUGUGGCUGACCUUACUACUUGCACAAGUUCUCUGAGUCUAUGUAUUUCAUAUACCACAUAAAAUGUAAAAGAAUGUUUUUAUUGGGUCGUAGUGCCUAUAAAAUAAAAUACAACUUUCAGCAACGGAUCUCUUGGCUCUCGCAUCGAUGAAGAACGCAGCGAAAUGCGAUAAGUAAUGUGAAUUGCAGAAUUCAGUGAAUCAUCGAAUCUUUGAACGCACCUUGCGCUCCUUGGUAUUCCGAGGAGCAUGCCUGUUUGAGUGUCAUUUAAUUCUCAACCCCUCUAGCUUUUCGUGGCUGGCUUGGUGGCUUGGAUGUGGGGGAUUGAUUUUGCGGGCCUCUUUAGAGGUCAGCUCCCCUGAAAUGCAUUAGUGGAACCGUUUGCGGACCUGUUCACUGGUGUGAUAAUUAUCAUCACCGAAGACAACCGCUCUCAUGUAGUUCUGCUUCUAAUCGUCCUUUUCUAUGGACAACAUUGUUUGAAUGCUGACCUCAAAUCA